GAUGAACGCUGGCGGCGUGCCUAAUACAUGCAAGUCGAGCGAACAGAUGAGGAGCUUGCUCCUCUGACGUUAGCGGCGGACGGGUGAGUAACACGUGGAUAACCUACCUAUAAGACUGGGAUAACUUCGGGAAACCGGAGCUAAUACCGGAUAAUAUAUUGAACCGCAUGGUUCAAUAGUGAAAGACGGUUUUGCUGUCACUUGUAGAUGGAUCCGCGCCGCAUUAGCUAGUUGGUAAGGUAACGGCUUACCAAGGCAACGAUGCGUAGCCGACCUGAGAGGGUGAUCGGCCACACUGGAACUGAGACACGGUCCAGAUUCCUACGGGAGGCAGCAGUAGGGAAUCUUCCGCAAUGGGCGAAAGCCUGACGGAGCAACGCCGCGUGAGUGAUGAAGGUCUUCGGAUCGUAAAACUCUGUUAUUAGGGAAGAACAAAUGUGUAAGUAACUAUGCACGUCUUGACGGUACCUAAUCAGAAAGCCACGGCUAACUACGUG
RNAcentral lists this ribosomal RNA (497 nucleotides) under uncultured bacterium. RNAcentral describes it as "partial 16S ribosomal RNA". It matches the Rfam family "Bacterial small subunit ribosomal RNA", at positions 28 to 507 of the family's 1533-position model. The record is from RNAcentral.